RNAcentral lists this ribosomal RNA (404 nucleotides) under Actinomycetes bacterium. RNAcentral describes it as "Actinobacteria bacterium partial 16S ribosomal RNA". It matches the Rfam family "Bacterial small subunit ribosomal RNA", at positions 355 to 776 of the family's 1533-position model. Lineage: Bacteria; Bacillati; Actinomycetota; Actinomycetes. The record is from RNAcentral.
UGGGGAAUAUUGGACAAUGGGCGCAAGCCUGAUCCAGCCAUGCCGCGUGAGUGAUGAAGGCCCUAGGGUUGUAAAGCUCUUUCACCGGUGAAGAUAAUGACGGUAACCGGAGAAGAAGCCCCGGCUAACUUCGUGCCAGCAGCCGCGGUAAUACGAAGGGGGCUAGCGUUGUUCGGAUUUACUGGGCGUAAAGCGCACGUAGGCGGACUUUUAAGUCAGGGGUGAAAUCCCGGGGCUCAACCCCGGAACUGCCUUUGAUACUGGAAAUCUUGAGUAUGGUAGAGGUGAGUGGAAUUCCGAGUGUAGAGGUGAAAUUCGUAGAUAUUCGGAGGAACACCAGUGGCGAAGGCGGCUCACUGGACCAUUACUGACGCUGAGGUGCGAAAGCGUGGGGAGCAAACAGG